UUUGGUGAUCAUAGCACGAGUGAAACACCCGGUCCCAUCCCGAACCCGGAAGUUAAGCACCGUUGCCGAUAAUUACCAUCUUAAGGUGUGGGAGAGUAGGGCAUCGCCAAAC
This 112-nucleotide ribosomal RNA is filed under the name Cognatishimia activa. Lineage: Bacteria; Pseudomonadati; Pseudomonadota; Alphaproteobacteria; Rhodobacterales; Paracoccaceae. The record is from RNAcentral.